AGUCGUCUAAGCGACUAUAAAAAGCUUUAGGCUUAGAGCGUCCACCCCCUCGGGGUGGGGUAGUA
This 65-nucleotide ribozyme is filed under the name unclassified sequences. RNAcentral describes it as "pistol ribozyme". It matches the Rfam family "Pistol ribozyme". The record is from RNAcentral.